CAGAGAUGUGGGAGUGCUCGAAAGAGAACCUGGACACAGGUGCUGCAUGGCCGUCGUCAGCUCGUGUCGUGAGAUGUUGGGUUAAGUCCCGCAACGAGCGCAACCCUUGUCAUUAGUUGCUACGAAAGGGCACUCUAAUGAGACUGCCGGUGACAAACCGGAGGAAGGUGGGGAUGACGUCAGGUCAUCAUGGCCCUUAUGGGUAGGGCUACACACGUCAUACAAUGGCCGGGACAGAGGGCUGCCAACCCGCGAGGGGGAGCUAAUCCCAGAAACCCGGUCGUAGUCCGGAUCGCAGUCUGCAACUCGACUGCGUGAAGUCGGAAUCGCUAGUAAUCGCGGAUCAGCUUGCCGCGGUGAAUACGUUCCCGGGUCUUGUACACACCGCCCGUCACACCAUGGGAGCGGGUUCUGCCAGAAGUAGUUAGCCUAACCGCAAGGAGGGCGAUUACCACGGCAGGGUUCGUGACUGGGGUGAAGUCGUAACAAGGUAGCCGU
This 498-nucleotide ribosomal RNA is filed under the name uncultured bacterium. RNAcentral's name for it is "bacterial SSU rRNA". It matches the Rfam family "Bacterial small subunit ribosomal RNA", at positions 1001 to 1503 of the family's 1533-position model. The record is from RNAcentral.